UACAGAGGUGGCAAGCGUUGUUCGGAAUUAUUGGGUUUAAAGGGUGCGUAGGCGGUUUACUAAGUCAGUGGUGAAAUCCGGCAGCUCAACUGUCGAUGUGCCAUUGAUACUGAUAGACUUGAGUACAGACGAGGUAGGCGGAAUUGACGGUGUAGCGGUGAAAUGCUUAGAUAUCGUCAAGAACACCGAUAGCGAAGGCAGCUUACUAGGCUGUAACUGACGCUGAUGCACGAAAGUGUGGGGAUCAAACAGG
RNAcentral lists this ribosomal RNA (253 nucleotides) under uncultured bacterium. Its description in RNAcentral is "partial 16S ribosomal RNA". It matches the Rfam family "Bacterial small subunit ribosomal RNA", at positions 524 to 776 of the family's 1533-position model. The record is from RNAcentral.